UACGAGAGCCUCAAGCGUUAUCCGGAAUUACUGGGCGUAAAGGGUGCGUAGGUGGUGAUGCUAGUCGUCCGUGAAAUCCCGGAGCUUAACUUCGGGCCCGCGAGCGAAACGGCAUUACUUGAGAGUGUGAGGGGUGUGCGGAACUCAUGGUGUAGGGGUGAAAUCCGUUGAUAUCAUGGGGAACACCAAAAGCGAAGGCAGCACACUGGCACAUAUCUGACACUGAAGCACGAAAGCGUGGGUAGCGAAUGGG
This 253-nucleotide ribosomal RNA is filed under the name uncultured bacterium. RNAcentral describes it as "partial 16S ribosomal RNA". It matches the Rfam family "Bacterial small subunit ribosomal RNA", at positions 524 to 776 of the family's 1533-position model. The record is from RNAcentral.